Molecule: ribosomal RNA, 121 nt
Organism: Caldivirga maquilingensis IC-167
Lineage: Archaea; Thermoproteati; Thermoproteota; Thermoprotei; Thermoproteales; Thermoproteaceae
Source: Rfam
UAACCCGGCCAUAGGUGGGGUGGACCCACCCAGACUCAUCAGAACCUGGAAGUGAAACACCCCACCGCGGUGCUGAGUACUGCGGUCCGCGAGGCCGUGGGAAAGGCCCGUGCUGGGGUUG